This is an RNA transcript of Cyprinodon variegatus (sheepshead minnow), 1055 nucleotides long. It is a transcript of the gene named glutamyl-tRNA(Gln) amidotransferase, subunit C, with no coding region annotated. NCBI's taxonomy places the organism in Eukaryota, Metazoa, Chordata, Actinopteri, Cyprinodontiformes, Cyprinodontidae. The transcript has 6 exons. The record is from RefSeq and is a predicted model, not a curated record.
ACUUUUAGCGCAGCCUUCCUUUCACCUCCUGCCUCUUUAACGCGUUGUUAACUGGGCUACGAGUAAUGGGUAUCUGACCUUAAUGAAUAAGAGAGCUCAGAAAAUGUGGCUAUUUUCAUCUGAAUAACUAGAAGAGACAGUGAGGUAAAUAUGCUUAAGGUGUCAGCAUUUCACGCGCUUCGUAGCGUUUCCCUGGAAAGCAUUGGGAUUUCAUUUGCCCUGUUGACAAACAAUGUUUACUCCGUAAGCACCAAACGAUGCAGACUCAGAGGUCUGCAGAGCCGCACCUUGGAUGUCAUAAGAUUGUUCAGCUCCAACCAACAUAACCCAAAGGUCCCAAAAGUGCCAACAUGGGAAUCAGUAGCAGAGGAGCAGCUUCCACCGCCCACGAAAAUCCCUGUUGACCUAGUGGACAAGCUGGAGCGUCUGGCCUUGGUGGAUUUUCGGACAAAACAGGGGCUGGAAUGUUUGGAGAAAGCCAUCCGUUUUGCAGAUCAGCUCCAUGUUGUUGACACAUCUGGGGUUGAACCGAUGGAUUCAGUUCUGGAGGACAGGGCUUUAUAUCUGAGGGACGACACAGUUACAGAGGGUGACUGUGCAGAGGAGCUGCUUAAGCUUUCAAAAAAUACAGUUGAAGAAUACUUUGUUGCACCACCAGGAAACAUUCCUCUACCUAAGAGGGAGGAGAGAGCUGCCAUCCUCAGACACUCCGAGUUCUGAUGACUUAAUUGUGAAUGAUUUAUUAUUUUAAAAUAGAGAACAGUAUAUGUCUGCCUCAGCCUACAGUUUGCAACCCAUCUGGGUAGAAGCUGAGCUGGUUUAUGACUGCCUUUACUGCAGUUUAUAAGCAGCCGUAAACAAUCUGGAAGAAACUGCCAAACAUCUUGCUGGUUUCAUCUAUUUGUCUUCUAUUAAAACUUCCUGUUGUUGAAAAACAAGUUUAGGUUUCAGUUUUAAUUUCACAGAUUAACAUAAAACAUUUUUAUUAAAGUGCAUGUCAAAACUCUUUUUUUGAGGAUUGUUUUAAACUGCUAUAACUAUAAAUCUAAAUAUUG